This 232-nucleotide ribosomal RNA is filed under the name uncultured bacterium. Its description in RNAcentral is "partial 16S ribosomal RNA". It matches the Rfam family "Bacterial small subunit ribosomal RNA", at positions 109 to 334 of the family's 1533-position model. The record is from RNAcentral.
AGUAAUACAUAAGUAACCUGCCCUAGACAGGGGGAUAACUAUUGGAAACGAUAGCUAAGACCGCAUAGGUACGGACACUGCAUGGUGACCGUAUUAAAAGUGCCUCAAAGCACUGGUAGAGGAUGGACCUAUGGCGCAUUAGCUGGUUGGCGGGGUAACGGCCCACCAAGGCGACGAUGCGUAGCCGACCUGAGAGGGUGACCGGCCACACUGGGACUGAGACACGGCCCAG